This 1769-nucleotide ribosomal RNA is filed under the name human gut metagenome. RNAcentral's name for it is "bacterial LSU rRNA". It matches the Rfam family "Bacterial large subunit ribosomal RNA", at positions 489 to 2144 of the family's 2925-position model. The record is from RNAcentral.
AGCGAACCAGUACCGUGAGGGAAAGGUGAAAAGAACCCCGGGAGGGGAGUGAAACAGUCUCUGAAACCGUGCGCCUACAAUCCGUCGGAGCCUUCUUUGUGGGGUGACGGCGUGCCUAUCGAAAAAUGAGUCUGCGAGUCAGUGGCAUGUGGCGAGCAUAACCCGUGUGGGGUAUGCGUAGCGAAGGCGAGUCUUAAAAGGCGUUUGAGUCGCGUGUCCUGGACCCGAAGCGGGAUGAUCUAGCCCUGAGCAGGUUGAAGCGCGGGUAAGACCGCGUGGAGGACCGAACCCACCUGGGUUGAAAACCGGGGGGAUGACUUGGGGCUAGGGGUGAAAGGCCAAUCAAAUUCCGUGAUAGCUGGUUCUCUCCGAAAUGCAUUUGGGUGCAGCGUCGGGUCAUUACGUCCCGGGGGUAGAGCUACUGGAUGCUUGCGGGCCCGUAUCGGGUACCAACAGCAACCAAACUCCGAAUACCGGUGACGCGUAUCCCGGCAGUGAGUCGGCGGGGGAUAAGCUUCGUCGUCGAAAGGGAAACAGCCCAGACCGUCGUCUAAGGUCCCGAAGCGUGUGCUAAGUGGGAAAGGAUGUGGAGUCGCAUAGACAGCCAGGAGGUUGGCUCAGAAGCAGCCACCCUUGAAAGAGUGCGUAACAGCUCACUGGUCUAGUGGUUCCGCGCCGACAAUGUAGCGGGGCUCAAGCACACCACCGAAGACGCGGCAGUAUUUUGUACUGGGUAGGAGAGCGUCCCAUGAGGGGCGAAGCGGCCGUGUGAACGCGCCGUGGACUUCAUGGGAGUGAGAAUGCAGACAUGAGUAGCGAGAGACGGGUGAAGAUCCCGUCCGCUGGAUGACCAAGGGUUCCAGGGCCACGUUCAUCGUCCCUGGGUGAGUCGGGUCCUAAGGCGAGGCCGACAGGCGUAGUCGAAUGGAUGAACGGGUCGAUAUUCCCGUACCGGCUUUCAGCCGCCAAAACCGAGGCUUGGAGUACUAACCUCCGGGUCCGGGCUUACUGCUCCUUCGGGGGCGGGAUGCCCUGGCCUGUUGGGACCGAUCCUUGUAGUAGGUCAGCGCAGGAGUGACGCAGAAGGGUAGCCGGCCGCGGAGGUGGUCUUCCGUGGUCAAGCACGCAGGGCGUGGGACAGGCAAAUCCGUCCCGCAUGGGUCCGAGGUGCGAUGAUGGGGGCCUUAUGGCCCGAUAUCCGGUGAUCCCGGCUGCCGAGAAAAGCUUCGGCGUCAGGCUCAAAGCCGCCCGUACCCCAAACCGACACUGGUGGUCAGGUAGAGAAUACCAAAGCGAUCGAGCGAAUCCUGGUCAAGGAACUCGGCAAAUCACUCCCGUUCCUUCGGUUUAAGGGAGACCCCCGAUGGUGAACCGCCUCGCGCGGGGAGCUUUUGGGGGUGGCACAGACCAGGGGGUAGCGACUGUUUACCAAAAACACAGGUGCAUGCGAAGGCGAAAGCCGCUGUAUAUGCACUGACGCCUGCCCGGUGCCGGAAGGUUAAGAGGAUCCGUCAACUCUUCGGAGCGAAGCGGUGAAUUCAAGCCCCGGUAAACGGCGGUGGUAACUAUAACCAUCCUAAGGUAGCGAAAUUCCUUGUCGGGUAAGUUCCGACCUGCACGAAUGGCGUAACGACUUCCCCACUGUCUCGACCAGGAGCUCGGCGAAAUUGCAGUACGAGUAAAGAUGCUCGUUAAGCGCAGAAGGACGAAAAGACCCCGGGACCUUUACUAUACCUUGGUAUUGGCAUUCGGUGUGGAUUGUGUAGCAU